GGAUCCAGACUUUGAUCAUGGCUCAGGAUGAACGCUAGCUACAGGCUUAACACAUGCAAGUCGAGGGGAAACGACAUCAAAAGCUUGCUUUUGAUGGGCGUCGACCGGCGCACGGGUGAGUAACGCGUAUCCAACCUGCCCACCACUUGGGGAUAACCUUGCGAAAGUAAGACUAAUACCCAAUGAUAUCUCUAGAAGACAUCUGAAAGAGAUUAAAGAUUUAUCGGUGAUGGAUGGGGAUGCGUCUGAUUAGCUUGUUGGCGGGGUAACGGCCCACCAAGGCAACGAUCAGUAGGGGUUCUGAGAGGAAGGUCCCCCACAUUGGAACUGAGACACGGUCCAAACUCCUACGGGAGGCAGCAGUGAGGAAUAUUGGUCAAUGGACGAGAGUCUGAACCAGC
RNAcentral lists this ribosomal RNA (401 nucleotides) under uncultured Bacteroidota bacterium. Its description in RNAcentral is "bacterial SSU rRNA". It matches the Rfam family "Bacterial small subunit ribosomal RNA", at positions 1 to 392 of the family's 1533-position model. Lineage: Bacteria; Pseudomonadati; Bacteroidota. The record is from RNAcentral.